RNAcentral lists this ribosomal RNA (125 nucleotides) under Archaeorhizomyces sp. RNAcentral describes it as "partial small subunit ribosomal RNA". It matches the Rfam family "Eukaryotic small subunit ribosomal RNA", at positions 1657 to 1779 of the family's 1831-position model. Lineage: Eukaryota; Fungi; Ascomycota; Archaeorhizomycetes; Archaeorhizomycetales; Archaeorhizomycetaceae. The record is from RNAcentral.
CCUUUGUACACACCGCCCGUCGCUACUACCGAUUGAAUGGCUUAGUGAGGCCUCUGGAUCGGCUCCGGCUGGCUGGCAACGGCUUACCGCUGUCGAGAAGCUGGUCAAACUUGGUCAUUUAGAGG